UACGUAGGGUGCGAGCGUUAAUCGGAAUUACUGGGCGUAAAGCGUGCGUAGGCGGUUCGUUAAGUCAGCUGUGAAAGCCCCGGGCUCAACCUGGGAAUUGCGGUUGAAACUGGCGAACUAGAAUCUGGCAGAGGGGGGUGGAAUUCCACGUGUGGCAGUGAAAUGCGUAGAGAUGUGGAGGAACACCGAUGGCGAAGGCAGCCCCCUGGGCUGAGAUUGACGCUCAGGCACGAAAGCGUGGGGAGCAAACAGG
Molecule: ribosomal RNA, 253 nt
Filed under: uncultured bacterium
Lineage: Bacteria
Description: partial 16S ribosomal RNA
Rfam family: Bacterial small subunit ribosomal RNA
Source: RNAcentral